CUACGGGUGGCAGCAGUGAGGAAUAUUGCACAAUGGGGGAACCCUGAUGCAGCAACGCCGCGUGGAGGAUGACGCAUUUCGGUGUGUAAACUCCUUUUAUAUGUCAAGAAAAUGACGGUAGCAUAUGAAUAAGCACCGGCUAACUCCGUGCCAGCAGCCGCGGUAAUACGGAGGGUGCAAGCGUUACUCGGAAUCACUGGGCGUAAAGGACGCGUAGGCGGGUUAUCAAGUCAGGUGUGAAAUCCUACAGCUUAACUGUAGAACUGCACUUGAAACUGGUAACCUAGAGUAUGGGAGGGGCAGAUGGAAUUAGUGGUGUAGGGGUAAGAUCCGUAGAUAUCACUAGGAAUACCUAAAGCGAAGGCGAUCUGCUGGAACAUAACUGACGCUAAGGCGUGAAAGCGUGGGGAGCAAACAGGAUUAGAUACCCCAGUAGUC
RNAcentral lists this ribosomal RNA (438 nucleotides) under uncultured bacterium. RNAcentral's name for it is "partial 16S ribosomal RNA". It matches the Rfam family "Bacterial small subunit ribosomal RNA", at positions 339 to 795 of the family's 1533-position model. The record is from RNAcentral.